This 252-nucleotide ribosomal RNA is filed under the name uncultured bacterium. RNAcentral describes it as "partial 16S ribosomal RNA". It matches the Rfam family "Bacterial small subunit ribosomal RNA", at positions 524 to 776 of the family's 1533-position model. The record is from RNAcentral.
UACGUAGGGAGCGAGCGUUGUCCGGAAUUACUGGGUGUAAAGGGAGCGUAGGCGGGCGAGAAAGUUGAAUGUUAAAUCUACCGGCUUAACUGGUAGCUGCGUUCAAAACUUCUUGUCUUGAGUGAAGUAGAGGCAGGCGGAAUUCCUAGUGUAGCGGUGAAAUGCGUAGAUAUUAGGAGGAACACCAGUGGCGAAGGCGGCUUGCUGGACGAUGACUGACGUUGAGGCUCGAAAGCGUGGGGAGCAAACAGG